UUUUAUUUGAAGUGAGAUUAUUUUUUUUAGAAUUUUAAUGGAGUCCCUUAUAUUAUAAUUUAGUCCUUUUGGUUAAAGACGUCUAAAUAGUUAACGGCUAAAUAUUCAGACGAACAAUCAUUGAAUAAUAUGCCUAAUUGACGGGACAUUUAAGACAUACUGAGGUGAAUUUAUAUUUUUUGAAAGUUAUUUUAUGAUAUUAGGGUUUUUAUUUUCUGAUAUCAUGAUUGUUAUCAUACACUAAUUAAAGUUUCUUUGGCUAAAUUUAUUCGCUCAAGCAAGAAAACGCAUGAGAAUCAAAUUGGGGAUUUUCUCUUCUCAAACACUCAAAAAGUCAUUUUUGGAGUGAUAAUGGCUUUGUGGCUCGAACAACAGCCUCUUGGCGGCGAGGACAGUGACACUGUGGAUGUGCUCUUCUUCCUCCCUUUAUAGCGUACUGUUUGUGUCGUAAGGGAGAGAGCUUCAUCCCUCUUCUCUUUGGUCUUGUCGAGGGUUUGUAGGAAGGGGAUACACGUUCAGGCGAGGCAGAGGCGUGACGAAAGCGCCCAAAGGCAUGGCGGAGGCGACGAGAGUGCGACAGAGGCGACGAGAGUGCAGCGGAGGAUUUCAGUUGUACAUCAAAAUUUGGGGAUUUCUAUUAUGAUUAUCUGAUUUCUUCUGCGAGUUAAGAUGUAGUGUCCAUGGAGAGCUGGUGAAUGCCAUCAUGGGGUCGAGGUUGGUCUGAUCGUAAAGACUCAUUGUUAGAUAGUCUUAAAAGAGAUUAAUAAUAAAGCAAGAGAAUUAAAAAUAAAAACCCUAAAAUCAGAAAAUAACUUUAAAAAAAUAUAAAUUCACUUCACUAUACCUUAAAAAAAUAACUUUAAAAAAAUAUAAAUUCAUCUCACUGUAAAAAUUACGUUAAACAUUUUAAAAAAAUAAAUCCCUCAAUAACCAAAAAAAUAAGAACCAACAACAUAAAUUACAAUAUAAAUAAUUACAUUAAACAUUUAAAAAAACAAAUCCCUCGUUAACAAAAAAAAAAUAGAAACGAACACCAAAAAUUUAUUAUGAUGUCUCCUUGCUGUCCUGACUUACAGUAAAACAUAACGACUUUCCAGAUUUUUCUCCCUGCAUGUCGGCAUAUAUACUUUGUUUCAGUUUCUAAAUGGAAAAUACUCGUACAUAAAAAAAAAAUUGAAUUGAUCAAUACAUUGAUAUAUUUAAAAAGAGAAUAAAAGUAAUAAAUUUAUAGAAUAUAUAACGUGAUAAAAAGAAAAAGAUAUGAAGAAAAAAAUAAAUAUAUAAUAGACAUCUAAAAUUAAAUAAAAUUAAUAGGUUUAUAAUGUAUGUUAUAAAAGAAUAUAAUAGAUUUAGAGUUGCUCCUUUCUAAAGUAGGACUACGGUUUUUCGUUCGAAUAUACAAUGAGGCCAAAAUUAUGGGUGAGUGGGACUGAUCAUUCUGGAAACACUAGGGCCAAUGUACUUCCCAUCUUAAUAAUGAUCAAUCAACAUAUUAGACAGUUUUAAAUAAAAAAUCAAUUUGGGGGUAAGACUCCCAAGCAAGAAUGAGUAUAGUAGGACUUUUUUUUUUACAAUGUUAGUAUUAGUAUUUGUAAAUGGAUAGAAUUAAAUUUAUUAUUUAUCUUAUCCUUCAUUUCAAAACCUACCAAACUAAUUUUAUAUUUUUAAAUUAUUAGUGGGGAGAAUUACAUUUACAGCCUUCUCUCAUUUUCCUUUUCAUUUUUACCAUUUAACCAUCCUUAGAUCCCUCAUGUAUGAUGGGUUUUUGAAUGAGAUUAAACCUCAACAAGAGACACACCCCUUUCAAUCAGGAUCCAGGACAACUUGAAAUCAUAUUUUGAACAAGAAACAAGCUGCAAUACCUAAUAAGGCUCGCACACCUGACCCCAAUCUACAUUCCUCGACAACAAGCUACCAUGGCUGUCCUAAACCACCGCACACCAUACCCAAAAUUACUGCAUUCUUACCAUUACAUUGUAUUGCUUUGUUAUAGUUCAUGCAUGACACUACUUUUGGUUUCAAAGUGGUUCAGGAAAUGGAUUUGGAUAUUUUUCUGUUC
This 2059-nucleotide small RNA is filed under the name Vigna angularis var. angularis. Its description in RNAcentral is "Non-protein coding transcript". Lineage: Eukaryota; Viridiplantae; Streptophyta; Magnoliopsida; Fabales; Fabaceae. The record is from RNAcentral.